This 85-nucleotide transfer RNA is filed under the name Felis catus (domestic cat). It matches the Rfam family "tRNA". From Rfam's summary of the family: Transfer RNA (tRNA) molecules are approximately 80 nucleotides in length. Their secondary structure includes four short double-helical elements and three loops (D, anti-codon, and T loops). Further hydrogen bonds mediate the characteristic L-shaped molecular structure. tRNAs have two regions of fundamental functional importance: the anti-codon, which is responsible for specific mRNA codon recognition, and the 3' end, to which the tRNAs corresponding amino acid is attached (by aminoacyl-tRNA synthetases). tRNAs cope with the degeneracy of the genetic code in two manners: having more than one tRNA (with a specific anti-codon) for a particular amino acid; and 'wobble' base-pairing, i.e. permitting non-standard base-pairing at the 3rd anti-codon position. The record is from Rfam by way of RNAcentral. Lineage: Eukaryota; Metazoa; Chordata; Mammalia; Carnivora; Felidae.
UCCUGGGUGGCUCAGUCAGUUGAGCAUCUGACUUGGGCUCAGGUCAUGAUCUCACGGUUCGUGGGUUCGAGCCCCAUGUCAGGCU